CCUACGGGGUGCAGCAGUGAGGAAUAUUGGUCAAUGGGCGCGAGCCUGAUCCAGCCAAGUAGCGUGAAGGAUGACUGCUCUAGGUGUUGUAAACUUCUUUUAUAAAGGAAUAAAGUGCGGCACGUGUGCCUUUUUGUAUGUACUUUAUGAUUAAGGAUCGGCUAACUCCGUGCCAGCAGCCGCGGUAAUACGGAGUUUCCGAGCGUUAUCCGGAUUUAUCGGGUUUAAAGGGAGCGUAGAUGGGUUGAUAAGUCAGUUGUGAAAGUGUGCGGCUCAACCGUAAAAUUGCAAUUGAUACUGGCAGCCUAGAGUACAGUUGAGGUAAGCGGAAUUCGUGGUGUAGCGGUGAAAUGCUUAGAUAUCACGAAGAACUCCGAUUGCGAAGGCAGCUUACUAAACUGCAACUGACAUUGAUGCUCGAAAGUGUGGGUAUCAAACAGGAUUAGAUACCCGUGUAGUC
This 460-nucleotide ribosomal RNA is filed under the name uncultured bacterium. Its description in RNAcentral is "partial 16S ribosomal RNA". It matches the Rfam family "Bacterial small subunit ribosomal RNA", at positions 338 to 795 of the family's 1533-position model. The record is from RNAcentral.